GACGAACGCUGGCGGCGUGCUUAACACAUGCAAGUCGAACGAUGAAGCCUAGCUUGCUAGGUGGAUUAGUGGCGAACGGGUGAGUAAUACGUGAGUAACCUACCUUUAACUCUGGGAUAAGCCUGGGAAACUGGGUCUAAUACCGGAUACGACCAAUCUCCGCAUGGGGUGUUGGUGGAAAGCGUUAUGUAGUGGUUAUAGAUGGGCUCACGGCCUAUCAGCUUGUUGGUGAGGUAACGGCUCACCAAGGCGACGGCGGGUAGCCGGCCUGAGAGGGUGACCGGCCACACUGGGACUGAGACACGGCCCAGACUCCUACGGGAGGCAGCAGUGGGGAAUAUUGCACAAUGGGCGCAAGCCUGAUGCAGCGACGCCGCGUGAGGGAUGACGGCCUUCGGGUUGUAAACCUCUGUUAGCAGGGAAGAAGAGAAAUUGACGGUACCUGCAGAGAAAGCGCCGGCUAACUACGUG
Molecule: ribosomal RNA, 471 nt
Filed under: uncultured bacterium
Lineage: Bacteria
Description: partial 16S ribosomal RNA
Rfam family: Bacterial small subunit ribosomal RNA
Source: RNAcentral